Molecule: small nucleolar RNA, 87 nt
Organism: Elgaria multicarinata webbii
Lineage: Eukaryota; Metazoa; Chordata; Lepidosauria; Squamata; Anguidae
Product: small nucleolar RNA SNORA17
Exons: 1
Source: RefSeq, a predicted model, not a curated record
UUUGCCCCUAGAUGGCUUUGCAAUGGCGGCUGCAUGAUGCAGCCGCCAUUGCAAAGCCAUCUAGAGGCAAAGCCCAGAAACUCCACU